AUUGAACGCUGGCGGCAGGCCUAACACAUGCAAGUCGAACGGUAACAGGAAGCAGCUUGCUGCUUUGCUGGCGAGUGGCGGACGGGUGAGUAAUGUCUGGGAAACUGCCUGAUGGAGGGGGAUAACUACUGGAAACGGUAGCUAAUACCGCAUAACGUCGCAAGACCAAAGAGGGGGACCUUCGGGCCUCUUGCCAUCGGAUGUGCCCAGAUGGGAUUAGCUAGUAGGUGGGGUAACGGCUCACCUAGGCGACGAUCCCUAGCUGGUCUGAGAGGAUGACCAGCAACACUGGAACGGAGACACGGUCCAGACUCCUACGGGAGGCAGCAGUGGGGAAUAUUGCACAAUGGGCGCAAGCCUGAUGCAGCCAUGCCGCGUGUAUGAAGAAGGCCUUCGGGUUGUAAAGUACUUUCAGCGGGGAGGAAGGGAGUAAAGUUAAUACCUUGGCUCAUUGACGUUACCCGCAGAAGAAGCACCGGCUAACUCCGUG
This 490-nucleotide ribosomal RNA is filed under the name uncultured bacterium. RNAcentral describes it as "partial 16S ribosomal RNA". It matches the Rfam family "Bacterial small subunit ribosomal RNA", at positions 30 to 507 of the family's 1533-position model. The record is from RNAcentral.